This 517-nucleotide ribosomal RNA is filed under the name Maudiozyma bulderi. RNAcentral's name for it is "Kazachstania bulderi partial large subunit ribosomal RNA". It matches the Rfam family "Eukaryotic large subunit ribosomal RNA", at positions 98 to 631 of the family's 3401-position model. Lineage: Eukaryota; Fungi; Ascomycota; Saccharomycetes; Saccharomycetales; Saccharomycetaceae. The record is from RNAcentral.
GCGGCAAAAGCUCAAAUUUGAAAUCUGGUACCUUCGGUGCCCGAGUUGUAAUUUGUAGAGGGCGACUUUGGGGCGGCUCCUUGUCUAUGUUCCUUGGAACAGGACGUCAUAGAGGGUGAGAAUCCCGUGUGGCGAGGAGUGCGGUUCCGUGUAAAGCGCUCUCGAAGAGUCGAGUUGUUUGGGAAUGCAGCUCUAAGUGGGUGGUAAAUUCCAUCUAAAGCUAAAUAUUGGCGAGAGACCGAUAGCGAACAAGUACAGUGAUGGAAAGAUGAAAAGAACUUUGAAAAGAGAGUGAAAAAGUACGUGAAAUUGUUGAAAGGGAAGGGCAUUUGAUCAGACAUGGUGUUUUGCGCCCCUCGCUCCUUGUGGGUGGGGGACCCUCGCAGCUCACUGGGCCAGCAUCAGUUUUGGCGGUCGGAUAAAACCAGGGGAACGUAGCUUGCUUCGGGAAGUGUUAUAGCCCUUGGGAAUACGGCCAGCCGGGACUGAGGAACGCGAUUCGUCAAGGAUGCUGGCA